AAGCUUUCACCUGCAGGCUGGGCAUUGGGUUUCGGGCUUUUCUUGCGCAGUCUAGGUGGGAGGCUUUUGAAGGUUUUCCUUCCGGGGAAGCUGGAGCCAUCAGUGAGAGACCACCUCUGGAAAGGCUAGAAUUCCUAAAUGGUGAUCCUUGAAUCAGGACACUUGACAAUUGUCAGCUAGACAGGUUUUUCUUGGGGCGGAAAGGCUCCUAAAAAGGUAACGGAGCUGUGUGCAAAAAGGUUUCUUCCCUCAGUCUGGACGGAAAUCAGACGUGGAGUGUAAAGGCCAAAAGGGAGCUUGACUGCAAGACGCUACAAGUCGAGCAGGCCGAGCGAAAGCUGGCCUUCAGUGAUCCGACGGU
RNAcentral lists this ribosomal RNA (361 nucleotides) under uncultured alga. Its description in RNAcentral is "bacterial LSU rRNA". It matches the Rfam family "Bacterial large subunit ribosomal RNA", at positions 2100 to 2427 of the family's 2925-position model. The record is from RNAcentral.